UACAGAGGGUGCGAGCGUUAAUCGGAAUUACUGGGCGUAAAGGGUGCGUAGGUGGUUUCGUAAGUUAGGUGUGAAAGUCCUGGGCUUAACCUGGGGAUUGCGCCUGAUACUGCGAAGCUAGAGUACUGUAGAGGAAAGUGGAAUUUCCGGUGUAGCGGUGAAAUGCGUAGAUAUCGGAAGGAACAUCGGUGGCGAAGGCGACUUUCUGGACAGCUACUGACACUGAGGCACGAAAGCAUGGGGAGCAAACAGG
RNAcentral lists this ribosomal RNA (253 nucleotides) under uncultured bacterium. RNAcentral describes it as "partial 16S ribosomal RNA". It matches the Rfam family "Bacterial small subunit ribosomal RNA", at positions 524 to 776 of the family's 1533-position model. The record is from RNAcentral. RNAcentral also lists the same sequence under 1 other name.